Long non-coding RNA from Paramisgurnus dabryanus, 2133 nucleotides. RefSeq lists it as uncharacterized. Lineage: Eukaryota; Metazoa; Chordata; Actinopteri; Cypriniformes; Cobitidae. The record is from RefSeq and is a predicted model, not a curated record.
AAUAAAUAUAUGCAUAAUUACACUUUUAAGAAAUAUGCUAAACACAAAUGUACUUCUAGUGAAGUUUUAGUAUAUUUGGAUAAAACAUACUUUUUUCAAAACAUGAUUCAUUAAUUGUAAUAAGCUAACAUUGAACUUUCCUCAAGCAUUUCAACAUUAUAUCAUUCCGAUUGCAUAAUAAACUAUUUUUUCAAAGAUUUGCUUAAAAUCUUACGUUUGAUAGUGUUUAUUUACAAUCAACGAGCCGCUCUAAGAGCUGAUUCUUUGUAGCGAACGAGCAGAGCCGAAUCUUCAGACGCAGGCAGGGGUAGGACCGUAAGAGCCGGCUCUAAUAACGGAGCCGAGCCAAAAGAGCCGAAUCUAUUGAAAGAGCCGGACUGCCAUCACUAAAAUGUAGAGCCGGAGCUUGAGCCGAAAGAGCAGAAUCAAUGGAAAGAGCCGGACUGCCCAUCACUACAAACAACGCACGUGACACACGUGACUAAACCUGAUUGGUUGUUGUCAUAGUAACACGUCACGGUGCUAUUUGAAACUUGUCUUGUUCAGUUCAGUUCACAGUGCAUGCGGUUGCUUGCAUUAAACGUAUAAACUGUUAAAUUAGAUGGCGACUCUGCAUUAAACGUAUUUAUUUAAUUAAUCGGCGAUCAUAUUUCACCAGAGGACUAAGAUAAAACAACUCGAUUUAAAAUGUGAGCAGUUUUAGUGGAUCUGACGUCGAGGGAAAAAGUAUUUCGCUUUUUGUUUGGAGAUGAACGAGACAACAUGAGGCACAGCGACAUAAAUAUGACCAAUCAGAUCCCAAGUAGACAGGAACAAAUGAAGAUAUAGCGCAUAGAAAGAUUCUUGGUGAUCAACUGCUAUUGACAUUUUUGAAUUGGGACAAAUGUGGAGUGAUUCGGAAGAAAAACGUUUGCAACACAUCCAUUCCAGAGUGCUCUGACAGAUAAAACUGACACGCUUGAUGAGGAUACAGUCAAAGCUUUAAAAGACCGUGUGAUAAAGCAGUCUUCAAUUACUACGGUGUCUGAUUUGCAAGAAGAAGUGACCCUCCACUUAAACAUGUUACAUCUAAACUGUUUUGUGUUUUAGUUCAGCUUUUUAUAGGUUUAUCUUAAGUUGGUUAAAGGCGGAGUGCACUAUUUUUGAAAGCCAAUGUUAACAUUUGAAAUGACCUAAACAAACAUGUCUCUACCCCAAUAGAAUCUGGACCUUCUUUUGAUAGAGCCACCACACACAUACGCAACCCCGGCAAGGAUGUCGGUUAGUAGACACACCCCUUACUGCUGGUUGGCUACAAGUGUGUUUUGGUAGUCGGCCCAAUUUCCUUUUCCAAAGCGUUUUUCAAACAUUGUGCACUCCGUCUUUAAAUUGCACUUAAACAUUUUUUUUUUCAGUAACUUUUUAUGCAGAGAAUUACAUUAUGAUUUAUAUAAUCAUUGCUUAUGAAUAUUUAGUGAUUGCAUAUUCAUAGUGUACUUUUCAUUAAUACAUUUAAUGUUAAUGUUGUUCAAUUUGAUAGAAGUAGCUCUGUAAUUGCAUUUCUCUGAUAUUUGUUUUAUAUGUUUCUCUUUGGUCAAGAGAUUAUGUAUGUCUCUGUGCUUGAUUAAUUUACUUUAGAUAUUUUUGUAAUGUACACAACACAAUAUGAAGUAUAUUAAAUUGUUCUGUAUUCAAAAUCUGUGUAUGUGUCUUAAUAUUUAAUGAUUUUAAUAUAACAUUUUAAAUAUUAAAAACAGCUUUAUAAUAAAAUAGUAGUGUAAUGCUAAUACAUUUCUAUUAAUGUAAUGCUAGUAUAUUUCUAAUAUGCUGAAGUACUAUUAAAGUGUUCUUAAAGCACAGUUAAAUUAAGCUUUAAAUGUAUUCUAACUGUAUUUUUAAGUGUAUGAGAAGUGCAUUUCAAAUGAAUUUUAAAGAAGUACACUUAAAUUGCACUAAAUAUAUUUGAAGUUGUUCCAAUUUAACACAAUUUCAAUAUAUUAAAUAUAAUGCAAAUAGAUUAAAAUUGACUUUAAAUAUAUCUUGAAAUGCAUUUAAUAUAUUUGAAGUGGGUUCAAUAUAAUACAUUUAAUAUGCAUUUAGUAUAGUAGCUUUUAAAUAUAUUAAGUAUGUCCCAAAAAAUACUAUUUAAAUAUA